UACGUAGGGUGCGAGCGUUGUCCGGAAUUAUUGGGCGUAAAGAGCUUAUAGGCGGUCUGUCGCGUCUGCUGUGAAAAUCCGGGGCUCAACCCCGGACUUGCAGUGGGUACGGGCAGACUAGAGUGUGGUAGGGGAGACUGGAAUUCCUGGUGUAGCGGUGAAAUGCGCAGAUAUCAGGAGGAACACCGAUGGCGAAGGCAGGUCUCUGGGCCACUACUGACGCUGAGAAGCGAAAGCAUGGGGAGCGAACAGG
This 253-nucleotide ribosomal RNA is filed under the name uncultured bacterium. RNAcentral describes it as "partial 16S ribosomal RNA". It matches the Rfam family "Bacterial small subunit ribosomal RNA", at positions 524 to 776 of the family's 1533-position model. The record is from RNAcentral.